Molecule: ribosomal RNA, 29 nt
Filed under: Purpureocillium lilacinum
Lineage: Eukaryota; Fungi; Ascomycota; Sordariomycetes; Hypocreales; Ophiocordycipitaceae
Description: partial 28S ribosomal RNA
Source: RNAcentral
GAUCAGGUAGGAAUACCCGCUGAACUUAA